GUGAUAAGCUGCGAUAAGCUUCGGGGAGUUGCACGUAAACUUUGAUCCGAAGAUUUCCGAAUGAGGAAACUCACUUAGAGUAAUGUCUAAGUAUCAUUAAGUGAAUACAUAGCUUAAUGAGGGGAACUCAGGGAACUGAAACAUCGAAGUACACGAAGGAAGAUAAAGAAAGUCGAUUCCUUAAGUAGGGGAGAGCGAACGCGGAUUAGCCCAAACCAAUAAAGUUUGCUUUAUUGGGGUGGCGGACAUAUCAUAACGAAGAGGUAUCGUAAUUGAAGAGGGUUGGAAAGACCCACCACAGAAGGUAAUAGUCCUGUAUGUUAAACGAGAAGACUUUAGAUAUGAUCCAGAGUACCACGGGACACGUGAAACCCUGUGGGAAGCAGGAGGGACCACCCUCCAAGGCUAAAUACUACCUAGUGACCGAUAGCGUAUAGUACCG
RNAcentral lists this ribosomal RNA (442 nucleotides) under Clostridioides difficile. Its description in RNAcentral is "bacterial LSU rRNA". It matches the Rfam family "Bacterial large subunit ribosomal RNA", at positions 58 to 503 of the family's 2925-position model. The record is from RNAcentral. Lineage: Bacteria; Bacillati; Bacillota; Clostridia; Peptostreptococcales; Peptostreptococcaceae.